RNA transcript from Planococcus citri (citrus mealybug), 4087 nucleotides. It is a transcript of the gene named ATP-binding cassette sub-family C member 3-like, with no coding region annotated. The transcript has 24 exons. NCBI's taxonomy places the organism in Eukaryota, Metazoa, Arthropoda, Insecta, Hemiptera, Pseudococcidae. The record is from RefSeq and is a predicted model, not a curated record.
CAUUUCAACAAGGAACAAAAUAGACUAUGGUGUAUUACGACUCGUCGACGCGACGUCGACGUCGAAUAACGUGUACAAGCGUUAUUGCGUUGGCAACUACAACGCGAAAAGGAUGUCUGUGCUGUGAUUGCGAAACUUUUUGAAACGAAUUGCGCGGUAAAUCGAUGAAAUUGAAAAUUGAAUUUAAACGAGUUUCAUUUUGCUGGCAUUUCACAAACUCAGAAAAAUGCUGUUUUCCGUAGAGGAAACGAACAGAUACAUGGAUGCGUUUUGUAAUUCAACCCUUUGGAAUACCACAUUAACAUGGUAUCAAGACACACCUGAUUUCACACCAUGUUUCAAGAGAAGUGUGUUGGUGUGGAUUCCAUGCUUUUUUCUAUGGAGUUGCCUGCCUUUUGAAGUAUACACUUUGAAAAAUAGCAAAUCGCGAGACAUACCUUUGACGAUGUUCAAUAUAAAUAAACUAACGUCUUGCAUCAUACUGAUAACGUUAUCUGUCGUACAUUUCGUGCGAAAUGUAUUAAUGAGCGAUUCUUCAACUCUGGUUGACAUUUACUCACCUGUAAUUCAAUUUUUCACUUUUAUUUUAUUUCUCACACUGACAUGGAUGAAUUUCAAGAUGGGCAUACGAUCAUCCGGGUCCUUAUUUACAUUCACAUUACUCUUGGUGAUUUGUGGAGCUCCAGAAUUACGCGGUGAAAUAAUUAUAAUUCAAAAUCUUUCGGCGGUUUACGAAGAGCAAAGGCUGCAAUUCAUCCUGUACACCGUUUACUACGCGACGGUGUUGCUGUCAUUUUUCUUGAAUUGCUUCGUGGACCCCAAGCCAAGAUACGUAAUGUGCUCAAAUGUGCCAUCACGUAAUAAAGAAAACCCAGAGGAAAAUGCAUCUUUCUGCUCUCGACUCUAUUAUUGCUGGUUUGAUCGUGUUGUUUGGAAAGCAUACAAAGAACCUUUGCGAGAUGAUGACUUUUGGGAUUUGGAUCAAGAAUACACCAGCGCCGUUGUGGUGCCAAAAUUUGAAAAACGAUGGAAUGCUUUGAUAGAGAAAAAUAAGAAACUGGAAAUUAGUACAAAUGUUUCAUCGAAUCGUGCUUCAGAAAAUAAAUACGAAGUGGAGUACAGAACUCACCCACAAAAAAGUUCUUCUUUUGUGGUACCGUUAUUUAGAAUUUAUUUACUUCAGUAUGUCGUCAUCAUGUUUUAUCUGCUGGUCGAGAAUGGUCUUCUCUUCGUCAGUCCUCAAGUUCUCAACUCAUUGAUUUCAUUCGUAAGUGGAGAUGAACCAUCAUGGAAAGGAUACGUUUACUCAGCCCUCUUAUUGGUAACAGCUUUGGGCCAAUCACUCAUAUUAUCCAUUUACAAUACCAAGUUAUUACUCAUUCAAAUGGUAGUUAGAUCUACAAUGGUAGAAAUCGUUUAUAAAAAGACAUUAAAAAUAUCCAACCAAGCAAGAAAAAAUUUCACUACAGGUGAAAUAGUGAAUUUGAUGUCCAGCGAUAUUCGUAAAUUUACAAACAUCAUAUGGAAUUUCAACGUAAUAUGGUCAGCUCCCUUUCAAAUCAUAGGAGUAUUUUAUUUUCUCUGGACAAUUCUAGGGCCGAGUGCUUUUACUGGAAUAAUAGUUAUAUUGGCAUUAAUACCGUUAAACAGCUACUUGUCAUCAAAUUUGAAAAUUUUACAAAGAUUACGUCUCAAACAUAAAGAUAGACGUAUUCGAAUCAUGAGCGAAAUUUUAACGGGAAUAAAGGUAAUAAAAUUAUACGCAUGGGAGAAUAAUUUCGAAAAACAAAUUCAAGAUAUACGUAGCGAAGAACUGAGAACGUUAAGAAAACAAAUAGGCUUAAACAUUACUUUAAUUUUGCUAUGGAAUAUUAUACCCUAUCUGAUUUCUUUGGUCACAUUUGCAACGUACGUGCUUUCCUCUGAUCAGCAUGUGUUAGAUCCUCAAAAAGUAUUUGUCUCCGUAUCGUUGUUUAAUAUUUUAAAAAAUCCUAUGUCAAUGUUGCCACAAGUUGUUUCUGAAAUGAUGCAAGCCGGUGUUUCCAUCACUCGAAUAAAUAAAUUCCUGAAUGCUGAAGAAUUGGAUCAUCACGCUGUUACUCAUAAAACUAAUGUUGGAUCAUUGGCCAUAAAAAAUGGCACGUUUUCGUGGACAAGAUCAGACGAAUCACCUCAACUGGAGCACAUAAAUUUAGAAAUAAAACAAGGUGCUUUGGUGGCCAUUGUUGGACCAGUAGGUUCUGGAAAAAGUUCACUAAUUUCGGCAUUUCUGGGCGAAAUGUACAAGCUUACUGGCACAAUAGAUACAAAGGGUUCAAUAGCAUACGUUCCUCAGAUAUCGUGGAUUCGAAAUACAACCCUGAGAGAAAAUAUUACUUUGGGAUUUCCGAUAGAAGAAUCGUUUUAUAAAACAAUUAUCGAAUCGUGCGCUUUAACCCACGAUUUGAAAAUUUUACCAGGAGGCGAUUUAACUGAAAUUGGAGAAAAAGGAAUUAAUUUAAGCGGCGGACAAAAACAAAGAGUUAGCCUAGCACGAGCCAUUUGUUCAGAAGCAGAUAUAUAUUUCCUGGAUGAUCCUUUGAGUGCUGUUGAUGCUCAUGUAGGCAAUCAUAUUUUUCAGCAUGUGUUGGGUCCUGGUGGUAUGCUUGAAAAUAGAACUCGAGUCAUGACUACUCACAGUACCACUUUUUUAGCACAAGCAGAUCUCAUUGUCGUCAUGAAGAAUGGAACGAUUUCAGAAAUUGGUACACUUUCUCAGCUGUUGAACAAUAAUGGAAGUUUUGCGGAUUUUUUACGUAAUUAUUCCGCGGAAAAGGUUAUUGAAUCUGCUGCAAAUGAAAUGGAUUCAAAUGAAGUUUCUGUGUCAUCAAAAAAGUUUAAAACCAAAGACGAUUUUUUAGAAGAAAAUAAAACGGAACAAGAAUGCGGAUUUUCAAAGAUCUUCGUUCAGAACGAAGCAGUAACCAAACCAUUAAUUAAAAAGGAACACGUUGAAACAGGAUAUGUAAAAGGAAAAGUAUAUCAGCAUUUCAUAUCUUCCGUUGGUAUAUUUUUUCCUAUCGCAACCAUAGCUAUGUUUUUCUGUCUUCAAAGCGUCAUUGUGAGCUCCAAUUUUUGGUUAUCAAAGUGGUCAACUGAUGAGAGUGUUUCUCAAGACGGAAUACAACUCAUUGAUAAGAGGAAUUAUUAUUUAGGAUAUUAUGCCUUUUUUGGGUUGCUGCAAGCUAUUUUCACUAUUUGUGGCAAUUGCAUUCUGUUCAUUGGAUUUUUAAGAGCAUCGAGCAACAUGCAUGAAAAAUUAGUAUCAAAAGUACUGAAAUGGCCUUUGAGAAUUUUCAAUGUCACACCAUUGGGACGAAUAUUAAACCGAUUUGGCUACGACAUAGAUGUUGUGGAUUAUACUUUAGCCAUGAAGAGUAGUAAAUUGCUUCUAAAACUUGGAAUGAUUAUUUCAACACUGGUUGUCGUCAGUUACACAACGCCACCUUUUAUCUUCAUAUGCAUCAUAUUACUGAUUUUAUUCCGCUUGAUGCAGAAAUUUUACUUAGCAACAUCACAACAGCUGAAAAGAAUGGAAUCAAAUUCGAGAUCGCCGAUAUAUUCUCAUUUCGCUGAAACCGUAGCAGAUGGUCAACGCUGAGGUUGGAAAUAAUUGCAAACAUGGUGGUAUUUUUUUCAUCAUUAUUUGCAGUUAUUUAUAGAUAUCAACUCGACGCUGGACUUGUCGGCGUCUCUGUCAGUUAUUCAUUGCAAAUAACCAAAGGAUUUUCUUGGCUUAUGCGAAAUCUCACUGAAAUCGAAACUUUAAUGGUGGCUGUCGAGCGAAUCAAAGAAUUUGAAGAAUAUCCUAUCGAAGCAGCUUGGAAUUUAUUACCGAAAAACCUACCCAAUAAUUGGCCUCACAGUGGUGAAAUACAAUUAUUCGAUUAUAAAUUGCGAUACGAUAAAGAUUUAGAUUUAGUGUUGAAAGGAUUAACAUUUUCAGUCAAAGGUGGAGAAAAAGUAGGCCAAUGAUUUUUUCAUACACCCAUUUAGCGAAUAUCUUGCAGUUUUAAACAUAUUAUUGGUACCAUAAAAGUAAUUAAUU